RNAcentral lists this ribosomal RNA (250 nucleotides) under uncultured bacterium. RNAcentral's name for it is "partial 16S ribosomal RNA". It matches the Rfam family "Bacterial small subunit ribosomal RNA", at positions 524 to 773 of the family's 1533-position model. The record is from RNAcentral.
UACGAAGGGUGCUAGCGUUGCUCGGAAUUACUGGGCGUAAAGCGUUUGUAGGCGGCUAUUUAAGCCAGUGGUGAAAGCCUGGGGCUCAACCCCAGAACUGCCAUUGGGACUAUUUAGCUAGAGGAUGUUAGAGGUAAGUGGAAUUCCUAGUGUAGGAGUGAAAUCCGUAGAGAUUAGGAGGAAUAUCGAUGGCGAAGGCAGCUUACUGGGACAUUUCUGACGCUGAGAAACGAAAGCGUGGGUAGCAAAC